UGAACGCUAGCUACAGGCUUAACACAUGCAAGUCGAGGGGAAACGGCAUCGAGUGCUUGCACUUGAUGGACGUUCGACCGGCGCACGGGUGAGUAACGCGUAUCCAACCUGCCCAUCACUCGGGAAUAACCUCUCGAAAGAGAGCCUAAUGCCCGAUGCAUUCCAUUAGAGGACAUCUGAAGUGGAACAAAGAUUCAUCGCUAUGGGAUGGGGAUGCGUCUGAUUAGCUUGUUGGCGGGGUAACGGCCCACCAAGGCAACGAUCAGUAGGGGUUCUGAGAGGAAGGUCCCCCACAUUGGAACUGAGACACGGUCCAAACUCCUACGGGAGGCAGCAGUGAGGAAUAUUGGUCAAUGGGCGAGAGCCUGAACCAGCCAAGUAGCGUGCAGGAUGACGGCCCUAUGGGUUGUAAACUGCUUUUAUAGGGGGAUAAAGUGUGCCACGUGUGGCAUAUUGCAGGUACCCUAUGAAUAAGGACCGGCUAAUUCCGUG
RNAcentral lists this ribosomal RNA (492 nucleotides) under uncultured bacterium. RNAcentral describes it as "bacterial SSU rRNA". It matches the Rfam family "Bacterial small subunit ribosomal RNA", at positions 30 to 507 of the family's 1533-position model. The record is from RNAcentral.